GACGAACGCUGGCGGCGUGCUUAACACAUGCAAGUCGAGCGGUAAGGCCCUUUCGGGGGUACACGAGCGGCGAACGGGUGAGUAACACGUGGGUGACCUGCCUUUAGCUCUGGGAUAAGCCUGGGAAACUGGGUCUAAUACCGGAUAUGACCCUAUGGCGCAUGUUGUGGGGUGGAAAGCCUUGUGCGGCUAGGGAUGGGCCCGCGGCCUAUCAGCUUGUUGGUGGGGUGAUGGCCUAACCAAGGCGACGACGGGUAGCCGGCCUGAGAGGGCGACCGGCCACACUGGGACUGAGACACGGCCCAGACUCCUACGGGAGGCAGCAGUGGGGAAUCUUGCGCAAUGGGCGAAAGCCUGACGCAGCGACGCCGCGUGAGGGAUGACGGCCU
Molecule: ribosomal RNA, 389 nt
Filed under: uncultured bacterium
Lineage: Bacteria
Description: bacterial SSU rRNA
Rfam family: Bacterial small subunit ribosomal RNA
Source: RNAcentral